Molecule: long non-coding RNA, 607 nt
Organism: Rhineura floridana
Lineage: Eukaryota; Metazoa; Chordata; Lepidosauria; Squamata; Rhineuridae
Exons: 2
Source: RefSeq, a predicted model, not a curated record
GAGUGCAUCCCUGUGUUGCCAAGGCACUGUUUGUGACACAGCACAGAGCAGGAAAAGACUUGCAGAGCAGGACUGGGUAAAGCGCCAAAAACGGCAGCUCAAGCCAGGAAGCUGCAUUAUACCAAGUCAGACCACUGCUCCAUCUAGCACAGUACUGUCUACAUUGAUUGGCAGCAGCAUUCCAGGGUUUCUUUCAGGCAGAAGUCUCUCCCAGGCCUAUAUGGAGAUGCUGGGGAUUGAACCUGCGACCUAUUGCCUGCAAAGCAGAUGCUCUACCACUGAACGAUGGCCUUUCCCCUAUGUUUUUACGUGCUGAAAAAGGACUUGUUCCCAACUCUGGGGAAAAAAGGACGGCAUGCCAUCUACAGGGCUGCCAUUCAGAAUGGAUUUUCCAGUCUCCUUCCUGCAGUGGCCAAUCUACAAGACUUUCUUAACAACACAUUCUCUGCUCCUCACAAUGGCAAACUCGUGUACAGACAAGAGGGGAUCUCACUGGUUGCCCUGCAGAUCGAGCUGGGCCAAGAUUUAUUUACUUUUGUAGUUGUUCCAUUUGCUCUCUCCCUUUGUGUCUUGUAAAGAUAGUGCAUUAAAAUGCUCCCAAGUCAAA